GGGCGGUUAGCUCAGCGGCUAGAGCGCUGCGUUGACAUCGCAGAGGUCACUGGUUCAAAUCCAGUAUCGCCCA
Molecule: transfer RNA, 73 nt
Filed under: Chloroflexota bacterium
Lineage: Bacteria; Bacillati; Chloroflexota
Description: Chloroflexi bacterium (cold seep metagenome) tRNA-Val
Rfam family: tRNA
About the family: Transfer RNA (tRNA) molecules are approximately 80 nucleotides in length. Their secondary structure includes four short double-helical elements and three loops (D, anti-codon, and T loops).
Source: RNAcentral